GUAUAUUUAUUAUAACAUGUAAUAUGCCAACCAACAUAUGCAUAACAUCGUGUGUGUAACAAAUAUUCAUAGACACGCCAUCGGCAUGUCUACAGGCAGUGCACAGGUGGAACAGAAGAAACAAGUGACCAGAGGCGUGUGCACAUUGCCCAGAGGACCAGCACAACAGCAUCCAGCCAGAAGUCUCAUUCAAUAAUGAUCCUUCCGCAGGUUCACCUACGGAAA
RNAcentral lists this unclassified non-coding RNA (225 nucleotides) under uncultured fungus. RNAcentral describes it as "sequence contains ITS1". Lineage: Eukaryota; Fungi. The record is from RNAcentral.